GAAUUUAAUUGAUGCUGAUCUUCAUUUCUAAUUUAACAUUUUUUAUUUAUUUAUUUUUGAGCUACAAAAAAUGUAAAUUGAAAUUAAAUGUAGAGAAUAAGAAUUAGAAUUUUAUUUAAUGUACAUGCAUACUUCAAGGCCAGCAUGCAUUGCGACGGUCAACAAACAGGUAAUAAUGGAGAGAUCCAGGCACUGGCACACAGACAAGAGGAAAUUUAAAAAGAUUUGGCAAGUUGACUUUUUAUUUACUGAAAUCAAUUCAAAGGCAGUGUGUCUAGUUUGCAAGCAGUCCGUUGCUGUUUUGAAAGAGUACAAAACCCGUCAAUAUGAAACAAAACGUUCUUCAGCUUUCUCAAAGGACAGCGGCGAGGCAUGAAAACAGAAGGCUAACGAGCUGCUUGCUAAACUUCGAUCUGAGCAGAGCGCGCUGCUACAUCCUUCAUCAGCUCAAGAAAGUGCCACACGGGCCAGCUAUCAGAUUUCCUGUAUUUUACAUCAAGAACAGCUAUGUGCCCAAUCCAUCGGGCUUGUGGAUGUGAUGCGUGACGUCGUCAAAAUUGUGAAUGAUAUACGCUCCAAGGCGCUCUCUCACCUGCAGUUCAAGGAAAUGUAGCCCAUUUUCCCUGUUUUAGAGAGGCAGGCAUGAUGAAAGAGAAGGUACCUGAGUAUGAUGCUGUUCUCAGCAACCUUUUCCAGGAGUUUGACAGUCGCUUUGAGGACUUCAGACACAAUGCUUCUGACUUUGAGUGGUUUGUUCAACCCUUCACCAUCAGUGUGGACACAGUCAGUGAUGAUCUACAGAUGGAACCAAUUGAGCUUCAGUGUGAUUCAGAACUCAAACACAAGUUCAGGUCCCUUCCCUUGACAGAUUUCUACAAACGUGUCCCCACAAACAGGUACAGAUGUGCAAACAGGCACAAGUGAUGCUGUCUCUGUUUGGCAGUACCUACCACUGUGAACAGACUUUCAGUCUGAUGAACUUAAACAAGUGUAAACUGAGAUGCAAACUAACUGACUCUCACCACCAUAAUAUCCUGACUUUGACAGUAAGUCCACUGCAUCCCAAUUUGGAAAAAUGUUUGAAAAAUAAGGACCAGCUUCAUGUGUCUCAUUAGAGGUCACUGAUAUUGCAGGCAUGUGGCUGUAUUGCUUAUACCUUGAAUAGUUGUAUUAGGUAUUGAACAUGUAUUAUAAAUGGGAUUGGUUCUAUGUUUUAAUUAUACUAUAAGUUUCAUUGAACUAUAGAACUCUGAAAAUAAAACUGCAUUAGUCAAGCAGA
Molecule: long non-coding RNA, 1279 nt
Organism: Ictalurus furcatus (blue catfish)
Lineage: Eukaryota; Metazoa; Chordata; Actinopteri; Siluriformes; Ictaluridae
Exons: 2
Source: RefSeq, a predicted model, not a curated record